This 72-nucleotide transfer RNA is filed under the name Ovis aries (sheep). It matches the Rfam family "tRNA". Rfam says of the family: Transfer RNA (tRNA) molecules are approximately 80 nucleotides in length. Their secondary structure includes four short double-helical elements and three loops (D, anti-codon, and T loops). Lineage: Eukaryota; Metazoa; Chordata; Mammalia; Artiodactyla; Bovidae. The record is from Rfam by way of RNAcentral.
UCCUUGUUGGCUCAGAUGGUAAAGAAUCUGCCUGCAAUGUAGGAGACCGAGGUUCAAUCCCUGGAUUGGGAC